This 407-nucleotide ribosomal RNA is filed under the name uncultured bacterium. Its description in RNAcentral is "bacterial SSU rRNA". It matches the Rfam family "Bacterial small subunit ribosomal RNA", at positions 355 to 774 of the family's 1533-position model. The record is from RNAcentral.
UCGAGAAUCAUCCACAAUGCAGGCAACUGUGAUGGUGUGACGUCGCGUGGUUGAAGACGUGCUUCGGCAUGUAAAAACCUUUUCUGGGGGAAGAAGUUUUAUUGACAUUACCCCAGGAAUAAGGGGCUCCCAAGCUCGUGCCAGCAGGAGCGGUAACACGAGCGCCCCGAGCGUUAUCCGGAAUCACUGGGCGUAAAGGGUGUGCAGGCGGUCUGUCUAGUCUCAUAUGAAAGCUCCGUGCUCAACACGGAACCUGUAUGGGAAACGGGCAGACUAGAGGACGCGAGAGGUCUGUGGAACCGACGGUGUAGGGGUGAAAUCCGUUGAUAUCGUCGGGAACACCGAAAGCGAAAGCAGCAGGCUGGCGCGUUCCUGACGCUCAGACACGAAAGCCAGGGUCGCGAACC